CUGUCCUUCACACUGUUUGGGCCUAAAUCUAGCACGUCAAAGUUCAAAAGACAGGCCCAUGGUAAAAUUACCUGCCCAGCCCAAAAAGCUUGAGGAUAACAAAAAUUAGGAUCCAGACAGAUUGGGCUUCACACCAGCACCCAGCCCAAGAAAGACCAAACGUGGAAACUGUCAUUUGGGCUUCAAGGAUCAGUCCAUAAUUUUUUGGGUUCAAACCCAAGGGAUUAAAAACAUACCCACGUGACUACCUCAGCUUUGAAAAGUCAGCAAUUCCAACUAAAAUAAAAAUAUGAGAGGGACAUCUCUGAAGCACUGCCAA
RNAcentral lists this long non-coding RNA (319 nucleotides) under Prunus persica (peach). Its description in RNAcentral is "long non-coding RNA (PPER_LNC005980)". The record is from RNAcentral. Lineage: Eukaryota; Viridiplantae; Streptophyta; Magnoliopsida; Rosales; Rosaceae.